ACCCGUAGACCGCUCACCUCACUCAGAGAACUUCACGGCAGGAGCGGGGGACCCAGGUAAGUCGCCGGGCCGGACGUCUUCGGACAUACCGGUACGGCUCGGGGUGAAGUCAUGCCUUCUUCGGCAUGGCCGGGCAGCUCCCGCCCGAACCCGACAGCUCACCUCGCAGGCGCCGGAGAGGAAUU
RNAcentral lists this small RNA (185 nucleotides) under Streptomyces sp. RNAcentral describes it as "c-di-AMP sequence". It matches the Rfam family "c-di-AMP riboswitch aptamer (ydaO/yuaA leader)". Rfam says of the family: This family represents a conserved RNA structure found upstream of the ydaO and yuaA genes in Bacillus subtilis and related genes in other bacteria. The ydaO/yuaA element is thought to act as a genetic "off" switch for the ydaO and yuaA genes in its native state. It is believed that the element may be triggered during osmotic shock leading to activation of ydaO, a predicted amino acid transporter gene, and members of the yuaA-yubG operon which code for KtrA and KtrB K+ transporters. Lineage: Bacteria; Bacillati; Actinomycetota; Actinomycetes; Kitasatosporales; Streptomycetaceae. The record is from RNAcentral.